GUGCAGGAUGCGGGAGGCAAAGAGAAGAGGCGGGUCGAAACGCGCAAAGCUUUCCAGAUGACCAAUCAAACCCUUCCAAAUGGCUAACCGAACCCAGUUCCCGGGAAAAAAACAGGCCGGAAGCGGAGUGUUUUUGUGGACAUCUGUUUCUUCUCUGAUCAACUCUUCUGCUAUGAAAAAUCCUUUUUAAAUGCACAGAUGAUGCACAAAUCCCAAGAUAUAUGACUGAGUGACAAUGCUGACUAAUUUAAAUGAUGACACUCCCUGUCACCCUAUCAAAAAUAUAUUUGUCCAUAAUUAUGUAUUAAAUUAUUUCCAAUAGUC
This is a long non-coding RNA of Silurus meridionalis, 324 nucleotides long. RefSeq lists it as uncharacterized. NCBI's taxonomy places the organism in Eukaryota, Metazoa, Chordata, Actinopteri, Siluriformes, Siluridae. The transcript has 2 exons. The record is from RefSeq and is a predicted model, not a curated record.